CAUGCAAGUAUCCGCGCCCCUGUGAAAACGCCCUUAAUUCCCUAAUAGGGAUAAGGAGCCGGUAUCAGGCACACCAAUUUUGCCCAAAACACCUAGCUAUGCCACACCCACAAGGGACCUCAGCAGUGAUUAACAUUGAACAUCAGCGACAGCUUGAUUCAGUUAAAGUAAAUAGAGCCGGCUAAUCUGGUGCCAGCCGCCGCGGUUACACCAUGUGGCUCAAACUGACUAUUAUCGGCGUAAAGAGUGAUUUAAGAGCCCCCAAAAUUGGCGUCAAAUUUGUACUAAGCUGUGACACGCUUGUCCCUUAGAAGUCCCAAAACGAAAGUUACUCCAAUUAAACCAACUUGAACUCACGACAACCAUGAAACAAACUGGGAUUAGAUACCCCACUAUGCUUGGUAGUAAACCUUAAAUUACACCCUAAUCGCCCGGGAACUACGAGCAAAGCUUAAAACCCAAAGGACUUGACGGUACCCCAAAUCCACCUAGAGGAGCCUGUCCUAUAAUCGAUAACCCCCGCUUUACCUCACCGCUUCUAGCUAAUCAGCCUGUAUACCUCCGUCGUCAGCUUACCUCGUGAGCGAAACACAGUGAGCUUAAUGCCAUUUCACCAACACGUCAGGUCAAGGUGCAACUCAUGAAGAGGGAAGAGAUGGGCUACACUCCCUAAUCUAGGACACACGAAAAACUACUUAUGAAAUCUAGUUUGAAGGCGGAUUUAGAAGUAAAAAAGAAUCAGAGAGUCCUUUUUAACUUGGCACUGGGGUGUGUACACACCGCCCGUCACCCUCUUCAAAGUCCUAUAGUAGUUUUUAACUCCAAUAGACAAUGCAGAAGAGGCAAGUCGUAACAUGGUAAGUAUACNNNNNNNNNNNNNNNNNNNNNNNNNNNNNNNNNNNNNNNNNNNNNNNNNNNNNNNNNNNNNNNAAAUCUCUGUGAAACUCAGAUUAUUGUGAGCCAACUUUCUAGCCCUAAUCAACCAUAUGUUAACCCUUCUAUUUUACCCACCAACUAAAACAUUUUAACAGCUUAGUAAGGGGGAUUAAAAGACUUUUAGGAGCCACAAAAAGAGUACCGCAAGGGAAAGAUGAAAUAAAAAUGAAAUAAAUUUUAAGCAAAAAAUAGUAAAGAAAAACCCUUGUACCUUUUGCAUCAUGGUUUAACUAGUCAAAUUGAGCAAAAAGACCUUCAGUUCAACCCCCCGAAACUAAACGAGCUACUUUGAGGCAGCUUACUGAGCCAACCCGUCUCUGUUGCAAAAGAGUGGGAAGACCUUCAAGUAGAAGUGACAGACCUAUCGAGUUUAGUGAUAGCUGGUUGCUUAAGAAAAGGACCUAAGUCCACAUUAAAUUGAUCUUUAUACCUAAACAUUUCAUCUUCAAUUUAAACUCAUUCAAGUAAGGUACAGCCUGCUUGAAAAAGGAUACAACCUCCUCCUAUGGGUAAUAAACGCAACUUAUAUAACUAAGUGGGCCUAAAAGCAGCCACCUUGAUAAAUAGCGUCACAGCUUUAUUAUAAACAAGCAUAAUCUCAUUAUUUUCAUAAAACCCUACACCUCUAUUAAGCAAUUCCAUGCACCUAUGGAAAAUUUUAUGUUAAAACUAGUAACAAGAAGUCACACUUCUCUUUAAUGCAAACUCACAUCAGACCGGAUUAACCACUGAUAAAUAACACCCCUCAUCCUCAAGUAGUAACUAAACAAGAAAACCCUACUUUACUUAAUGUUAACCUUACCCAAGAGCAUUACAAGAAAGAUUAAAAGAAAAAGAAGGAACUCGGCAAACAUUGACCCCGCCUGUUUACCAAAAACAUCGCCUCUUGCCCCAUAUAAGAGGUCCAGCCUGCCCAGUGACAUUGUUCAACGGCCGCGGUAUCCUAACCGUGCGAAGGUAGCGUAAUCACUUGUUCUUUAAAUGAGGACUAGUAUGAAAGGCACCACGAGAGUCAUACUGUCUCCUUUCUCUAAUCAGUGAAACUAAUCUCCUCGUGAAGAAGCGGGGAUAAAAGUAUAAGACGAGAAGACCCUAUGGAGCUUAAAACAAAUUACACUUGCCUUCCUAAUCCUUAAUUUCAGAAAAAUUUUUUACCUUGGCAUUAUGAUUAUUAGUUUUUGGUUGGGGUGACCACGGAAUAAAAAACAACUUCCGCAAUGAAAGACCCUCCACACUUAGUUUAGAGCUACAACCCUACACAUCAACAAAUUGACAUUAAUUGACCCAACAUGUUGACCAAUGAACCAAGUUACCCUAGGGAUAACAGCGCAAUCUACUUCAAGAGCUCCUAUCGACAAGUGGGUUUACGACCUCGAUGUUGGAUCAGGGUAUCCUAGUGGUGCAGCCGCUACUAAAGGUUCGUUUGUUCAACGAUUAAAACCCU
Molecule: non-coding RNA, 2380 nt
Filed under: Adenomera sp. M
Lineage: Eukaryota; Metazoa; Chordata; Amphibia; Anura; Leptodactylidae
Description: partial large subunit ribosomal RNA
Rfam family: Bacterial small subunit ribosomal RNA (bases 1-874)
Source: RNAcentral